Molecule: ribosomal RNA, 3327 nt
Filed under: Triticum aestivum (bread wheat)
Lineage: Eukaryota; Viridiplantae; Streptophyta; Magnoliopsida; Poales; Poaceae
Description: partial small subunit ribosomal RNA
Source: RNAcentral
AUGGAGAUGGUGGAGAAGCUUUCUCUCACCACAAGACCACAUCUACAUCCUUACUACAUCCAAUGGUUCAACAACAGCGGCAAGGUUAAGGUAACACGUACUGUUCGUGUGCAUUUUAGUAUAUCUACAUAUGCUGAUUAUGUUGAUUGUGAUGUGGUACCUAUGCAAGCAUGUUCCUUAUUACUUGGUAGACCAUGGCAAUUUGAUAAAAAUUCUGUACACCAUGGUACAAACAAUCACUAUACUCUUGUUCAUAAGGAUAAAAAUAUUACUUUGCUUCCUAUGACUCCUGAUUCCAUUUUGAAAGAUGAUAUUAAUAGAGCUAAUAAAGCAAAACAGGAGACGAAUAAGAGUGAAAAUCAGAUUGUGGCAAAAGAAUUUGAGCAGCAAAUGAAGCCUAAUAAUAAACCAUCUAGUGUUGCUUCUGAAAUUAAAUUGAAAAGUGCAUGUUUAUUUGCCACCAAAUCGGAUAUUGAUGAGCUAGAUUUCAGCAAAUCUGUUUGCUAUGCUUUUGUGUGCAAAGAGGCAUUAUUUUCAUUCGAGGACGUGCCUUCCUCUUUGCCUCCUGCUGUCACUAACAUUUUGCAGGAGUUCGCUGACGUUUUUCCACAAGACGUGCCACCGGGAUUACCGCCUAUUCGAGGGAUUGAGCAUCAGAUCGACUUAAUUCCCGGUGCUUCACUGCCAAACCGUGCACCAUACCGUACCAAUCCAGAGGAGACGAAGGAGAUUAUGCGUCAAGUACAAGAGCUUCUCGACAAAGGUUAUAUACGCGAAUCCCUUAGUCCUUGUGCUGUUCCUAUUAUUCUAGUGCCGAAAAAGGAUGGUACAUCACGUAUGUGUGUUGAUUGUAGAGGCAUUAAUAAUAUUACUAUUCGUUAUCGUCAUCCUAUUCCUAGGCUAGAUGAUAUGCUUGAUGAAUUGAGUGGCUCUACAAUAUUCUCCAAAGUUGAUUUACGUAGUGGAUACCAUCAAAUUCGUAUGAAAUUGGGAGAUGAAUGGAAAACAGCAUUCAAAACUAAGUUUGGAUUAUAUGAGUGGUUAGUCAUGCCUUUUGGGUUAACUAAUGCACCUAGUACUUUCAUGAGAUUAAUGAACGAAGUUUUACGUGCUUUCAAUGGACGAUUUGUGGUAGUUUACUUUGAUGACAUAUUGAUUUAUAGCAGAUCUUUGGAAGAACAUUUGGAACAUUUACGUGCUGUUUUUAUUGCUCUACGUGAUGCACGUUUGUUUGGUAACCUUGGGAAGUGCACCUUUUGCACCGACCGAGUAUCUUUUCUUGGCUAUGUUGUUACUCCACAGGGAAUUGAAGUUGAUAAAGCCAAGAUUGAAGCUACUGAGAGUUGGCCGCAACCCAAAACGGUCACACAAGUGAGGAGUUUUCUUGGCCUCGCUGGAUUCUAUAGGCGUUUUGUGAGAGAUUUCAGCACCAUUGCUGCACCUCUCAAUGAGCUUACAAAGAAAGAUGUGCCUUUUCUUUGGGGUACCGCACAGGAAGAUGCCUUCACGGUAUUGAAAGAUAAGUUGACACAUGCUCCUUUACUCCAACUUCCUGAUUUUAAUAAGACUUUUGAGCUUGAAUGUGAUGCUAGUGGAAUUGGAUUAGGAGGUGUGUUAUUACAAGAUGGCAAACCUGUUGCAUACUUUUCUGAAAAAUUGAGUGGGCCUAGUCUGAAUUAUUCUACUUAUGAUAAAGAAUUAUAUGCUCUUGUUCGGACUUUAGAAACAUGGCAACAUUAUUUAUGGCCCAAAGAAUUUGUUAUACAUUCUGAUCAUGAAUCUUUGAAACAUAUUAAAAGUCAAGCUAAACUGAAUCGUAGACAUGCUAAAUGGGUUGAAUUCAUUGAGACUUUCCCUUAUGUCAUUAAACACAAGAAGGGAAAAGAAAAUGUUAUUGCUGAUGCAUUGUCUCGUCGCUAUACUAUGCUUUCACAACUUGACUUCAAAAUAUUUGGUUUGGAGACCAUCAAAGAUCAAUAUGUGCAUGAUGAUGAUUUUAAAGAUGUAAUGCAGAAUUGUAAAGAAGGAAGAAUGUGGAACAAGUUUGUUGUUAACAAUGGAUUUGUGUUUCGUGCUAACAAGCUAUGCAUUCCAGCUAGCUCCGUUCGUCUUUUGUUGUUGCAGGAGGCGCAUGGAGGAGGAUUAAUGGGACACUUUGGCGUGAAGAAGACGGAGGACGUACUUGCUACACAUUUCUUUUGGCCAAAGAUGAGACGGGAUGUUGAGCGUUUUAUUGCUCGCUGCACUACAUGUCAAAAAGCUAAGUCACGACUCAAUCCUCAUGGUUUAUAUAUGCCUUUGCCUGUACCUAGUGUUCCUUGGGAGGAUAUAUCUAUGGACUUUGUUUUAGGUUUACCUCGAACAAAGAAGGGGAGGGAUAGCAUAUUUGUUGUCGUGGAUAGAUUCUCGAAAAUGGCACACUUUAUACCAUGUCAUAAAAGUGAUGAUGCUGUUAAUGUUGCUGAUUUGUUCUUUCGUGAAAUUAAUCGUGAUACUAAAUUUCUUAGCCAUUUUUGGAGAUGUUUAUGGGCGAAGUUGGGGACUAAACUGCUUUUUAGUACUACUCGUCACCCCCAAACUGAUGGACAAACUGAAGUAGUCAAUAGAACGUUGUCUACUAUGCUUAGGGCUGUUUUGAAGAAUAAUAAGAAAAUGUGGGAGGAAUACUUGCCUCAUAUUGAAUUUGCUUAUAAUCGUUCAUUGCAUUCUACUACUAAGAUGUGCCCUUUUGAAGUUGUGUAUGGUUUCCUACCUCGUGCACCUAUUGAUUUGUUGCCUCUUCCAUCUUCGGAGAAGGUUAAUUUUGAUGCUAAACAACGUGCUGAAUUGAUUUUAAAAAUGCAUGAGUUAACUAAGGAAAACAUUGAGCGUAUGAAUGCUAAAUAUAAACUUGCUGGAGAUAAGGGUAGAAAACAUGUUGUGUUUGCACCUGGAGAUCUUGUUUGGUUACAUUUGCGUAAGGAUAGAUUUCCUGAUUUGCGCAAAUCAAAGUUAAUGCCACGUGCUGAUGGUCCCUUUAAGGUGUUAGAGAAAAUAAAUGAUAAUGCAUAUAAACUUGAGCUGCCUGCAGAUUUUGGGGUUAGUCCCACUUUUAACAUUGCAGAUUUGAAGCCUUAUUUGGGUGAGCAAGAUGAACUUCCGUCGAGGACGACUUCAUUUCAAGAAGGGGAGGAUGAUGAGGACAUCAAUACAAUUGUUACACCCACAUCCCCUGCUGCCAUACAUACUGGACCAAUUACUAGAGCUCGUGAAACAGACCCUCGUGGUCAGGUUGAUCGUGCUCCGGCGUGGUCAAUAACCUCUCGGAGUUGGUUUAGCGAUUGCUAA